GCGGGCGUGGCGGAACUGGCAGACGCGCAAGAUUUAGGUUCUUGUGUCUUAUGACGUAUGGGUUCGAGUCCCUUCGCCCGCA
This 82-nucleotide transfer RNA is filed under the name Levilactobacillus bambusae. It matches the Rfam family "tRNA". From Rfam's summary of the family: Transfer RNA (tRNA) molecules are approximately 80 nucleotides in length. Their secondary structure includes four short double-helical elements and three loops (D, anti-codon, and T loops). Lineage: Bacteria; Bacillati; Bacillota; Bacilli; Lactobacillales; Lactobacillaceae. The record is from Rfam by way of RNAcentral.